RNAcentral lists this ribosomal RNA (433 nucleotides) under uncultured bacterium. RNAcentral describes it as "partial 16S ribosomal RNA". It matches the Rfam family "Bacterial small subunit ribosomal RNA", at positions 29 to 507 of the family's 1533-position model. The record is from RNAcentral.
AACGAACGCUGGCGGCAUGCCUAACACAUGCAAGUCGAACGAGACCUUCGGGUCUAGUGGCGCACGGGUGCGUAACGCGUGGGAACCUGCCCUUAGGUUCGGAAUAACUCCCCGAAAGGGGUGCUAAUACCGGAUAAUGUCUUCGGACCAAAGAUUUAUCGCCUUUGGAUGGGCCCGCGUUGGCUUAGCGAGUUGGUAGGGUAAAAGCCUACCAAGGCGACGAUCCAUAGCUGGUCUGAGAGGAUGAUCAGCCACACUGGGACUGAGACACGGCCCAGACUGCUACGGGAGGCAGCAGUGGGGAAUAUUGGACAAUGGGCGAAAGCCUGAUCCAGCAAUGCCGCGUGAGUGAUGAAGGCCUUAGGGUUGUAAAGCUCUUUUACCCGGGAUGAUAAUGACAGUACCGGGAGAAUAAGCUCCGGCUAACUACGUG